This 354-nucleotide ribosomal RNA is filed under the name uncultured bacterium. RNAcentral describes it as "bacterial SSU rRNA". It matches the Rfam family "Bacterial small subunit ribosomal RNA", at positions 486 to 842 of the family's 1533-position model. The record is from RNAcentral.
AUAAGGAUCGGCUAACUCCGUGCCAGCAGCCGCGGUAAUACGGAGGAUCCGAGCGUUAUCCGGAUUUAUUGGGUUUAAAGGGUGCGUAGGCGGCCUUUUAAGUCAGCGGUGAAAGUCUGUGGCUCAACCAUAGAAUUGCCGUUGAAACUGGGAGGCUUGAGUAUGUUUGAGGCAGGCGGAAUGCGUGGUGUAGCGGUGAAAUGCUUAGAUAUCACGCAGAACCCCGAUUGCGAAGGCAGCCUGCCAAGCCAUGACUGACGCUGAUGCACGAAAGCGUGGGGAUCAAACAGGAUUAGAUACCCUGGUAGUCCACGCAGUAAACGAUGAUCACUAGCUGUUUGCGAUACAGUGUAA